This 1000-nucleotide long non-coding RNA is filed under the name Heterocephalus glaber (naked mole-rat). RNAcentral's name for it is "lncRNA (ENSHGLG00000046652.1)". Lineage: Eukaryota; Metazoa; Chordata; Mammalia; Rodentia; Bathyergidae. The record is from RNAcentral.
CCCAAGAGUGCGGGGAAUCGUGUCUGUGAACUCUGUUUUUAGCCAGGCGUGGUGGUGCACGGCUAUCAUUCUGGCACUGGGGAGGCUGAGGCAGGAAGAUUGCCAUGAGCUCGAGGCCAACCUGGGCUACAUAGGAUUGAACUUGGGACCUUUCGAGGCAGGCACGGUGCCACUGAGCUAAAUCCCUGGCGCCUCUGUGCUUUCUAACAAGAUGGGCGUCUUCAUGAGUCUCCUGGGCACAAUCAGAGUUGUAUGGUGUGAAUAAAACACAAGCAACCAGGUCUCCGCAGACAGUCAGAGAAGGGUCAGGUAGGGGUGGAACCAGGAGCGGACAUGCUGCACGGUGGGCCAGGUGUCGCCGCUCUGCCUGCCCCAGCCGGGAGUCUGUGGCCUGGGUCUCAGGCUGUCUGUCUGUCUGUUGGGUGGCACCGCCAGACAGGCAUUAAAGGGGAAGGUGUGGCCAGGACCCCAUGUACGCUGGGCAGCAGGCCGCAUCCUGGGAGGCUGCUCAGCCCAGCUUUCCCUUCUCCAGGGGCCACCGGGGUCACCCUCCUGGUCUUCCCCAUCGUCGUCGACCUGCUUGCAGCCUUCCUCAUCUACAAGCACGCCCCAUGCAGUAGGUUCCCAAGGACAGUGGCUGAGCCACUGGGGAAAUGAAGGCACGGAAGUUGAUGUCACCGGGGCCAUCUCUCUCCUUGUCUUGUGCAUCCCCAGGGCUGGCUCCUGACAACACAACCUAAAGGCAGAGCUGUGCCCACGUCAUGCAUCCUUCGUUACUCUGUGACAACCCAAGACUCCAGUGCUUUUCUCUGCCUCGCUCUCCCUUACCUGCAGCCCCUCCAAGGAGCCUGAAGAGGCAGCAGCAGGACACCGAGGCAGCCAUGACUGUGCAGCUACAGACACUCAUGAAAGAGGACUCCAGAGCUGCCUCAGGAAGUGGAGAGAACCUGCGGUGUUUGACGUGGACGGGGAGAAUUCUGAGGGGAUUAAAGGCGAUGCG